This 612-nucleotide long non-coding RNA is filed under the name Sus scrofa (pig). RNAcentral describes it as "lncRNA (ENSSSCG00005041222.1)". The record is from RNAcentral. Lineage: Eukaryota; Metazoa; Chordata; Mammalia; Artiodactyla; Suidae.
GAAAAUGAAAUCUGUUAAAAAUUCUGACAAAAACAUUCAAAAUGAUCAAGAAGAUGGUUUACAAUUUGGGUUUAUGUCUGUUAAAUUCACAUCUACUGUCGUUAAUCAGGAGCCUCUGCUUAAGGGCAUAUUGUGUCUUGAAAUAUUAACUAAUGGAGUAUAAUGCCAUAGUGAUUGCAAGGCAUUUAAAAGCAGUACUUAUUUCAUCUUUAUCUUUUUAUUUUAUUUUUUUGUGUGUUAUAAUGCUCAUAACACCUGGGCAGGUAUACAUAUUGGAAGCAGGUGCUACAAAUGUUUUAUUGAUUAGAGGGAUGUGACCAAAACGCUGCAGGCUACCAAUUUGGACUGAACCUGACAUGUCCACAUGUCCAUCUGACUCAUGAAGAAGAGACGUGGAUGGGGACCCAGCCCGGAUUCUGCACUUCAAGAUGAAGAAAGCAAAUAUACAAAGAAAUGCAUACAAGGAGCUUAAUUAUUUAAUUGGGCAAGAGUCGACAUGGAGUAUUAACUUGCAGGAAUUACCUAGAACUUUUCAUGCCUUCCUUGCAACUGGGAUACAUUUCUCCUUCCAAGGAAAACUGUCUCUUUUUAUCUGAACUGAAGAUGGUUAUG